AGAUAGCAACAAUUCCGCAGACGACUUCGCCGGGGAAAAGGUAAAGUACCGGGUAUCAAACCACUGACUUACCGAGUCUUCAAAAAGAAAGCGAUCAUGCUGAGGAAACAGACAGUUCCGCUGGCAACACUGCAUGGGGAAAAGCGGUAACAACUCCACUUGCAACUCUGAGGGGAGUAUCAACAACGGUUAUACUCGCG
This 200-nucleotide long non-coding RNA is filed under the name Lathyrus oleraceus (garden pea). RNAcentral's name for it is "Pisum sativum (pea) long non-coding RNA (PSAT_LNC040898)". Lineage: Eukaryota; Viridiplantae; Streptophyta; Magnoliopsida; Fabales; Fabaceae. The record is from RNAcentral.